Tachyglossus aculeatus (Australian echidna) is the source of this 572-nucleotide long non-coding RNA. RefSeq lists it as uncharacterized. The record is from RefSeq and is a predicted model, not a curated record. NCBI's taxonomy places the organism in Eukaryota, Metazoa, Chordata, Mammalia, Monotremata, Tachyglossidae. The transcript has 4 exons.
UCUGUAGGUUUUGCUGAAUGUCUACUUUCCUUGCUGGAGAUGGAUAUUUCGCUGACCCAGGGCCUGAGGGUUACUUGACUGUUUCUAGCCAACCCCUGCAGCUGAGUAAUUUAAAUACUGUGGUUUUUUUUUCUUAGUUUUUCCUUUUUUUUGCAUCCAGUAUGGAUUGUGAGACCAGCUGUUUCUUACAGAAGCAGUAUCGUGUAGAGAGUAGAACAUAGGCCUGAGAGUCAGAAGGACCUGGGUUCUAAUUUCAACUCAACUGUCGGUGUACUGUGUGACCUUGGAGGCUGCCUGAUGUAUUUUCUGGCCUUGAGGAUCAUCUGUCUGGCACUAGGAUUAAGAGGGCAACUUUAAGACCUGAUCUGCCCUGUCCUGGAGGUGGAGCUGUAGGCUGUAUUGCUAUCUCCAAGGGAAGGUUUUGGGACUUUUCCUUUUUUUUGCAUGUGUGAAAGGGGUUAAGAUUAGCUGAGUUGUGGGACAGAGCAGUGAUCCAAAGGAGGCCACCGUGGACACAGAAGCUGCUUCUAGGGGAAAAAAAAAUCGGGGCUCUGUGCAGGGAACUGGCUUUG